RNAcentral lists this ribosomal RNA (886 nucleotides) under Nocardioides sp. RNAcentral's name for it is "bacterial SSU rRNA". It matches the Rfam family "Bacterial small subunit ribosomal RNA", at positions 125 to 1023 of the family's 1533-position model. Lineage: Bacteria; Bacillati; Actinomycetota; Actinomycetes; Propionibacteriales; Nocardioidaceae. The record is from RNAcentral.
UCUGCCCCUCACUUCGGGAUAAGCCUCGGAAACGGGGUCUAAUACCGGAUACGACACAGACCUGCAUGGGUUCUGUGUGGAAAGUUUUUCGGUGGGGGAUGUGCUCGCGGCCUAUCAGCUUGUUGGUGGGGUAAUGGCCUACCAAGGCUUCGACGGGUAGCCGGCCUGAGAGGGUGACCGGCCACACUGGGACUGAGACACGGCCCAGACUCCUACGGGAGGCAGCAGUGGGGAAUAUUGGACAAUGGGCGGAAGCCUGAUCCAGCAACGCCGCGUGAGGGAUGACUGCCUUCGGGUUGUAAACCUCUUUCAGUGGGGACGAAGCGCAAGUGACGGUACCCACAGAAGAAGCACCGGCCAACUACGUGCCAGCAGCCGCGGUAAUACGUAGGGUGCGAGCGUUGUCCGGAAUUAUUGGGCGUAAAGGGCUCGUAGGCGGUUUGUCGCGUCGGGAGUGAAAACACCGGGCUUAACUCGGUGCUGGCUUUCGAUACGGGCAGACUAGAGGUAUUCAGGGGAGAACGGAAUUCCUGGUGUAGCGGUGAAAUGCGCAGAUAUCAGGAGGAACACCGGUGGCGAAGGCGGUUCUCUGGGAAUUACCUGACGCUGAGGAGCGAAAGUGUGGGGAGCGAACAGGAUUAGAUACCCUGGUAGUCCACACCGUAAACGUUGGGCGCUAGGUGUGGGGUCCAUUCCACGGAUUCCGUGCCGCAGCUAACGCAUUAAGCGCCCCGCCUGGGGAGUACGGCCGCAAGGCUAAACUCAAAGGAAUUGACGGGGGCCCGCACAAGCGGCGGAGCAUGCGGAUUAAUUCGAUGCAACGCGAAGAACCUUACCUGGGUUUGACAUACACCGGAAAGCUGCAGAGAUGUAGCCCCUUUUAGUC